AAAGCGCCCGAGUCAAAGAUGAAAUCAUAAAUCAUAAUACUUGUUGCGGGUGUGCGAAUACAGUUCAAUCGUAAGGGCUGUAUCCUAACGGAAAUAUUUUAUUUCUUGUUUUCAGUUUCGAUUUUUGGAUAUUAGGAUACUCGGUGUAAGAUUGAUGUCUGAUUAAUUGAGAAGUGCAGUGAGUUCGCUUAUCGUUACUGUUUGGUAGUUAAAUUCUUUCGUCUUAUCGGAAUACAAGAUUCGUAAACAUCAUAAUUCUACAUGUAGUAGGAAGGCUGCUAAUGGUUCAUGGAGGAGGAUAUUGUAUUUAGCAUUGGCUAAAAAAUUUUGUGUCCAAUAACACUGGUGUUCAAUAGGCUGGUAUCCAAACGGGGUUCACCCUUCCGACUAAACACCUUCAUCUAUUUAAGUCUCGACUGCUCGUCGAAAUGAACUGGGCAUGGUGACCAACUAGGUAAGACAGCCCGAUGUUUACCGAAUUGCCGUCAUUCGUAGCAUCAGGCGAAAGGAAGCCGCGAGCGAAGACGUAACAGUAGCUAUAAACGAUAAUGCCCUGGAUUACACAGCCCAUUGGAGAUUCAUUUGUACUAAUUUUAAAGAACGGUCUUGAAUACACGUCUGGAAACGAUCCUAAUCUUCAGAUGGUGAGGGAGGCCCUCAUUUUGAGGCCAACUUGGUAGUUUCAUCAAUGGCUACGCGGGUCACCACGUAUGCGAGGGGGACGCAACGAGGAGGUCAACUAACAUUGCCCCGCAUACGUCGAUCAGCUCAAUCAUCCCCGUGAGGAGACGCGAAACCGCGACUUGGUCGAUCAGCAAAAAUAACUGAAAUUCGGAAUCAGAUGAAUAUGGUGAAAACACACUGAUUGAACAAACAACGCGACAUAACUUGAUCAACACGGUUUGAAUGUUGAACUGAUACUGAUAACACGUGAUUCUGCUCCGAUUGUUCGGAAACGACUGAUGCCGCACGGCGCUCAGAAGAGUCUGAUAUCAAUUCUCUGAAUGACGGAAGAUAAUAAUUCUCCCUCCCUCUUUCUUACUCUUCCCAUGGGGUGGGGGUAGAUUCGAUUCGAUAGCGAAAGUUUAUAAAUUUCCAGAGACCAUUCUUCCUGCUGCAUGGAAAAUUAAAAAACGUAUAAAGCAGAUACAUAUAGCAAAAUAUUAUGUGUAUGUACUAUUUUAAUAAUAUAAUUGGAAAAAUUUGUCACAUUUAUAAUGAAAUUACAAACAUUUCAAUAUGUGAAGCCUGUUAUAGUAUAAUAAAAAUUAUAAAGGCCCUUUAAUAAG
RNAcentral lists this long non-coding RNA (1289 nucleotides) under Neodiprion lecontei (redheaded pine sawfly). Its description in RNAcentral is "uncharacterized LOC124295208, transcript variant X1". The record is from RNAcentral. Lineage: Eukaryota; Metazoa; Arthropoda; Insecta; Hymenoptera; Diprionidae.